CCACAACUUAAAUGUGGAUGUACUUGCUUUGUCCCUGAAUAGUAAGUGCUUCCAUGUUUUAGUGAUGG
Molecule: non-coding RNA, 68 nt
Organism: Cariama cristata (Red-legged seriema)
Lineage: Eukaryota; Metazoa; Chordata; Aves; Cariamiformes; Cariamidae
Source: Rfam